ACACAUGCAGUCGAGCGGAGAUGAGGUGCUUGCACCUUAUCUUAGCGGCGGACGGGUGAGUAAUGCUUAGGAAUCUGCCUAUUAGUGGGGGACAACAUUCCGAAAGGAAUGCUAGUACCGCAUACGUCCUACGGGAGAAAGCAGGGGAUCUUCGGACCUUGCGCUAAUAGAUGAGCCUAAGUCGGAUUAGCUAGUUGGUGGGGUAAAGGCCUACCAAGGCGACGAUCUGUAGCGGGUCUGAGAGGAUGAUCCGCCACACUGGGACUGAGACACGGCCCAGACUCCUACGGGAGGCAGCAGUGGGGUAUAUUGGACAAUGGGGGGAACCCUGAUCCAGCCAUGCCGCGUGUGUGAAGAAGGCCUUAUGGUUGUAAAGCACUUUAAGCGAGGAGGAGGCUACUGAGACUAAUACUCUUGGAUAGUGGACGUUACUCGCAGAAUAAGCACCGGCUAACUCUGUGCCAGUAGCCGCGGUAAUACAGAGGGUGCGAGCGUUAAUCGGAUUUACUGGGCGUAAAGCGUGCGUAGGCGGCUUUUUAAGUCGGAUGUGAAAUCCCCGAGCUUAACUUGGGAAUUGCAUUCGAUACUGGGAAGCUAGAGUAUGGGAGAGGAUGGUAGAAUUCCAGGUGUAGCGGUGAAAUGCGUAGAGAUCUGGAAGAAUACCGAUGGCGAAAGAGCCAUCUUGCCCUAAUACUGACGCUGAAGUACGAAGCAUGGGGAGCAACACGAUUAAUACCCUGGUUGUCCAUGCCGUAAA
RNAcentral lists this ribosomal RNA (757 nucleotides) under uncultured bacterium. RNAcentral describes it as "bacterial SSU rRNA". It matches the Rfam family "Bacterial small subunit ribosomal RNA", at positions 51 to 806 of the family's 1533-position model. The record is from RNAcentral.